Molecule: ribosomal RNA, 440 nt
Filed under: uncultured bacterium
Lineage: Bacteria
Description: partial 16S ribosomal RNA
Rfam family: Bacterial small subunit ribosomal RNA
Source: RNAcentral
CCUACGGGAGGCAGCAGUAGGGAAUUUUGCUCAAUGGGGGAAACCCUGAAGCAGCAACGCCGCGUGGAGGAUGAAGGUUUUCGGAUUGUAAACCCCUUUUGUUAGAGAAGAUAAUGACGGUGACUGACGAAUAAGCACCGGCUAACUCCGUGCCUGCAGCCGCGGUAAUACGGAGGGUGCAAGCGUUACUGGGAAUCGAUGGGCGUAAAGAGCGCGUAGGCGGGUUAGCAAGUCAGAUGGGAAAUACGAUGGAUUAACCAUAGAACUGCAUUUGAAACUGUUAUUCUAGAGUAUGGGAGGGGUAGGUGGAAUUCUUGGUGUAGCGGUAAAAUGCGUAGAGAUCAAGAGGAAUACUCAUUGCGAAGGCGACCUGCUAGAACAUAACUGACGCUGAUGCGCGAAAGCGUGGGGAGCAAACAGGAUUAGAUACCCUAGUAGUC